GCACUGCUGAGGAAUCCCAUAAUAGGACGAAACGGUUGUCCAGUGC
RNAcentral lists this non-coding RNA (46 nucleotides) under Schistosoma mansoni. The record is from RNAcentral. Lineage: Eukaryota; Metazoa; Platyhelminthes; Trematoda; Strigeidida; Schistosomatidae.